GUCGUGUUCUGUGGUUUGGUCGGUGUUGUCAAUUUGUGUGAGGAUAAAGCAGUUGUUAGAGUUCCAACAAACAAAGCGUUGGACGUGUUAAAAUGAAUGAACAGCGUGGUUCCGGUGGACGAGAAGUGCGUCUCCUGCAAGACAUAUGCCUGGAUGCCAUUACUGACUUCACAGAUGUGAAAUGGUUCCGGGAUUUCGUGCUGCCACGUUGCCUCGCCGAUCACUACUACACACGACUGCAAAGACGACGGUCUUUUAAGGAUCAUCUCGUACCUGUGGUGCUACACGCCAAGUCCAUCGAAGCAGAUUUGGCCGAGAGUCCUGUCACGGCAGCCGCCCUUGUUCACGUCAGGAAAUGCACGCAGCUGGAGAAGCUCACCUUUUCCUCGGUGCCUUGGAAUGACUUGCUCUGCGAAACUACUCUCCUGGAAACAGUCACGUGCUUCCACAACCUGAGGUGGCUCGAGCUGAUUGGUGUCAGCGCAGUCACUGACGCAGUGGUUGCAGCCAUUGCUGGACAGAACAAGCUCCUCACGACCCUCAGUCUGAGUGGUUGUGUGAACGUUAGUGACGAUGCCCUUAAAGUGUUGGGACAGAACUGCCACUUCUUGAAAAGCCUCGACUUCUCAUCGACCCAGAUAACCAGUCGUGGUUUGGUCAUCUUAGCCAACAGUCCCUGCAAAGUCACCAUAGAGGAGUUUCGGGCCGACCGAUGCAGUAAACUUGAAGCAGACGGGAUUCGGAUCAUUAUCGCCAACUUUCCGUCACUGCGAAUACUGAGAAUAUACGACUGCGACCAUCUUCGUUUUGCACCUGAGGCAGUACCAGCGAUAAUGGAAAGGAACGGCCAAUUUUCCUGGUUCGUCUCCUGGUGACCACCCUUACAGCGCAUGCCGGGCCCUCUGCUCUCGUAUUAUGAUGGCACUUCCAGAUGCUAACGUUUCUUGGAGACCGGCUAUAAUGGAACUUACAGAUCCUGAAGGUACAACAUCAAGGGGGCCAAGUUAAGCAAAAACUGCCAAUGACAG
Molecule: unclassified non-coding RNA, 1028 nt
Filed under: Rhipicephalus microplus (southern cattle tick)
Lineage: Eukaryota; Metazoa; Arthropoda; Arachnida; Ixodida; Ixodidae
Description: protein AMN1 homolog, transcript variant X1
Source: RNAcentral